UACGUAGGUGGCAAGCGUUGUCCGGAUUUACUGGGCGUAAAGGGCUUGUAGGCGGUCCGUUAAGUCCGGUGUGAAAUCUCCCGGCUCAACCGGGAGGGGUCAUCGGAUACUGGCGGACUCGAGGUGGGCAGAGGAAAGCAGAAUUCCCGGUGUAGCGGUGAAAUGCGUAGAUAUCGGGAGGAAUACCAGUGGCGAAGGCGGCUUUCUGGGCCUAUCCUGACGCUGAGGAGCGAAAGCGUGGGGAGCAAACCGG
RNAcentral lists this ribosomal RNA (253 nucleotides) under uncultured bacterium. RNAcentral's name for it is "partial 16S ribosomal RNA". It matches the Rfam family "Bacterial small subunit ribosomal RNA", at positions 524 to 776 of the family's 1533-position model. The record is from RNAcentral.